UAGGCUGUGAAAACACUCAAGUCCAUCAAGGUUAGACAUUCACAUGUCUGUAUUGUUGGUGUUGAUCCAAAAGAAGGGGAAGGCAAUGGAGAAAAAUGCAAUUUGAAACAAUUUCCAAUAUUACCACAAAUCAGACACACAUGUCCAAAAUUGCACCACAUAUUCAAAGGUAGGGUCUUACCAUUGAUUUAUGAAAAUGCUAAAUAAUAUGUUUUUUUUUUCUUGUGACUCAAUAAAACCCC
This is a non-coding RNA of Pelobates cultripes (western spadefoot toad), 242 nucleotides long. Lineage: Eukaryota; Metazoa; Chordata; Amphibia; Anura; Pelobatidae. The record is from the annotation of a GenBank genome assembly.